Molecule: ribosomal RNA, 253 nt
Filed under: uncultured bacterium
Lineage: Bacteria
Description: partial 16S ribosomal RNA
Rfam family: Bacterial small subunit ribosomal RNA
Source: RNAcentral
UACGUAGGGUGCGAGCGUUAAUCGGAAUUACUGGGCGUAAAGCGUGCGCAGGCGGUUUUGUAAGUCAGAUGUGAAAUCCCCGGGCUUAACCUGGGAACUGCGUUUGAAACUACAAGGCUAGAGUGUGGCAGAGGGGGGUGGAAUUCCACGUGUAGCAGUGAAAUGCGUAGAGAUGUGGAGGAACACCGAUGGCGAAGGCAGCCCCCUGGGUUAACACUGACGCUCAGGCACGAAAGCGUGGGGAGCAAACAGA